GAUGAAGAACGUAGCGAAAUGCGAUAAGUAGUGUGAAUUGCAGAAUUCAGUGAAUCAUCGAAUCUUUGAACGCACAUUGCGCCCCUUGGUAUUCCAUGGGGCAUGCCUGUUCGAGCGUCAUUUGUACCUUCAAGCUCUGCUUGGUGUUGGGUGAUUGUCUAUCUUUAUAGACUCGCCUUAAAGUCAUUGGCAGCCGACAUAUUGGCCUGGGAGCGCAGCACAAGUCGCGCUUCUUGUCAUGAAUGUUGGCGUCCAGUAAGUCUACAUAUUUUGCUCUUGACCUCGGAUCAGGUAGGGAUACCCGCUGAACUUAAGCAUAUCAAUAAGCGGAGGA
RNAcentral lists this unclassified non-coding RNA (334 nucleotides) under soil metagenome. RNAcentral's name for it is "partial contains 5.8S ribosomal RNA, internal transcribed spacer 2, and large subunit ribosomal RNA". The stretch from base 1 to 120 matches the Rfam family "5.8S ribosomal RNA", at positions 35 to 154 of the family's 154-position model. The record is from RNAcentral.